RNA transcript from Carya illinoinensis, 1823 nucleotides. It is a transcript of the gene named shikimate kinase, chloroplastic-like, with no coding region annotated. Lineage: Eukaryota; Viridiplantae; Streptophyta; Magnoliopsida; Fagales; Juglandaceae. The transcript has 14 exons. The record is from RefSeq and is a predicted model, not a curated record.
CAAUUCAGAUCUGUUUCGUCCUUAUUUUUGAGCCACACCCACCGCUGAGAGGCGCUACACUUAAAAACACGUCCCCGACUCCACACAACCACCUACUUCUCCGAUCCUCCUCCUCUCUCUCUCUCUAUCUCUCUCUGUCUCCCCGUUUCGCUUUCGUAACCACUCAUCCGUGUCAACUCCUAUUGUACAUUUGUCCGCAACAUCAACUAGUCUCAACAAAAACAACAACGGCAGCAACCGCCGCCGCUCCCAGAUAAAUUCCUAGAAAGGAGGGAGAUUGAGGGCCUCAAGCAAUUCCACCAGGUCAACUCCAUUUCCAUUUGAUAGUUUCUGAUCUCUGAGAAAUUCUUUUUUGAGCUACCUGUAAUUGUUAGCGAAUCGGCAAAAAUUUGUGGAAAGCUUCAUUUAUUGGAAAUAAAUUUCGAAUAAAAUUGGAGAUUUUUAGCCUUGUCUCUGUCUAUAAAUUAACAAAUUCCUGGAACAUUGAUUGAGUUACAUCCGAAGUCGAGCUAGUUUGUCAGCCAGAAUGGAGGCCAAGGUUGCACAGAGUUUGCUACUCCCAUCGUGGAACGGUUUGGAGAAGAUGACAAAGGGUCCAAGCGGUUCGGUGCGGUUUUCUCGAAAAUUCAGAGAACAAGACAAGUCUCAGGUGCUGAUAUCCGCUCAAUUGCAGCCUAACACGAGGAUUUCAAAUCGGUACAGAACGGUGUCGUUUGAGGUUUCCUGUUCUUAUAAGAACUUUCCAGCUUCAAUUUUGGAAUCUGGAAGCUUUCAAGAUCCUUUUGAUGAAGCUCCAAUUUUGAAGAAAAAGUCACAGGAGAUCAAGACAUAUUUAAAUGGACGCUGUAUAUAUCUUGUUGGUAUGAUGGGGUCUGGGAAAACAACGGUGGGCAAGAUUUUGUCACAUGUACUUGGUUAUUCCUUUUUCGACAGUGACAUGCUGGUGGAGGAUGAUUUUGAUGGAACUUCUGUAGCUGAAAUAUUCAAGCUCUAUGGAGAAGGCUUCUUCAGGGAAAAAGAGACUGCAGUUCUGCGAAAACUGUCUCUAAGGCCUCAACUUGUUGUUUCUACUGGUGGAGGUGCAGUUACUCGGCCUAUCAACUGGAAAUAUAUGCAGAAGGGUAUAAGUGUCUGGUUGGAUGUUCCUUUGGAAGCAUUGGCCCGUAGAAUUGCAGCUGUAGGAACUGGUUCUCGCCCCCUUUUGCAUCAUGAUGCAGGUGAUGCAUACACAAAGGCUUUCACACGGCUGUCUACUCUUCUGGAAGAGAGGAGUGAAGCAUAUGCCAAUGCAAAUGCAAGGGUUUCCUUGGAAGAUAUUGCAGCCAAACUAGGACAUAGAGAUGUAUGCAAUCUCACUCCGACUGUGAUUGCAAUUGAGGCACUCGAACAAAUUGAGGGCUUUCUACAGAAAGAGAAUGACCAUUUUGCAUUCUAGUUCAACGAGCUUCCAUGUACAAUUGGAGCAUGAUCUGUAUCCACCAAUUUGCUGCGAUGGUAGAAAACCACGGGCUCGUUAUUCUUUUCUAUUCUCGUACACAACGACCUCUCCGUUUCCCAGACAAGAAUUCCAUCAGCCACUGCCUUCUCUACGCGCGAGUUGCAAUUUUAAUGGAAGUUCUUGUUCCAGACAAAUAAAGAGAUAAGCAUGCCAGUGUGACUUCAUUGAGGAAGAUGAACACAAAACCCCAGCAUCUGCAGGACUCCAGAUAAUCUCAAUAUGGAGGGAGAACAUUAGUUACGAAUCAUGGAAGCUGUUGCAGAUAUGGUGAAGUUGAAGUGUCUGAAUCAUAAAUCAUGAUAGAAGAUGCAAACGACGGUCAAGG